Molecule: unclassified non-coding RNA, 289 nt
Organism: Otolemur garnettii (small-eared galago)
Lineage: Eukaryota; Metazoa; Chordata; Mammalia; Primates; Galagidae
Gene: 7SK
Rfam family: 7SK RNA
About the family: 7SK was discovered as an abundant small nuclear RNA in the mid-70s but a possible function has only recently been suggested. Two independent studies have found that 7SK RNA binds the CDK9/cyclin T complex (known as elongation factor P-TEFb).
Source: Ensembl
GGAUAUGAGGGGUGACAUCUGCCACCCCACUGAUUGCCAGAGUUGAUUUGGCUGAUCUGGCUAGUGAGGCAGCUGUCCCCUUUUCUUAUCACCACUCCAUCUAUAUCUAUCCUAAAGCUGAGCACUCCGUUGAACAGGAUGACCUUCCAACACAGAGGAAGAUGGACCUUUGGUAAAGGGUAUAUGAGUGUCUGUGCUCCCUGAGAAACCUCCAAGCAAGAAAGUUGAGACACAAAAAUACUGCUUAAUGCUGCCAUUUCAUUAAAAACUUCUCUAAAUGCAAUUAGCU